GAGCUCAGCGCAUAACCUCCCGGGCCACCAGGCCUGCGGCGGAAUGUUGCGUUAAGGGAGAGGYCGUCUUUAAACCCUUCGACCACACGAUCCUAAGUUUGCCUUGAUUGGGCAGUCCUUCCUUGUAGGUUGGUCUGACUCCACGGAGGGUGUAAGACCCGUCUGGGCGUGUGUCAAAGUCGAGUGGGCAAGACCUCUCCUUGAGAGUCGUGCUGUUUGGACAUGCAGCACUAAGCAGGUCGUAAACUCGAUCCAAGGCUAAAUAUUUCCACAGAACCGAUAGUGAACAAGUACCGAGAGGGAAAGUUGAAAAGGAUCUCUGAACAGAGAGUCAAAAGACCGUGAAACCGCUCAGAGUAUAAGCCAAUGGUAUCUGGAAGGCCGUACGCCGGUCUAUGGUGGCAUCUAUUCCAAACGCGGCCGAGCUGCGGGGUGUCAUCUCGAGAUCUUGGAAGAGCUUGUCAAUUCAAAGUUUAACGGCGGAGAGCAUUCCUAAUCGGCGUUGAGUGUGUCACCUUCACGGGUGGCGUGCUCACGACGGGACUGGGAGUGGGCUUGCAAACCCAAGAUCUGAGGCGGCGUUUUUAAGGCCCACCACGGCACGUUGUGAGGCGACCCACAGGCACCUCUCGGUGAUUGCAGCUUCCACUGCUCACACUGCCAGUUCGCUGUCGAUCGUCAUAUCUUCAGUGGCUUAAGUCGUGAGCAAACUCUGGAGGCUGGGCAUCGUAACCAAGGGUGUUCUGGUAUCGUCCUCUGCGACGAGCUGCUUGCUGGCCUGUGCUGGGCUCCCGUGUCUGUCUGUCCGGGCAGGCACGACAGUCUCGACAGUCUUGUCAUCCUGUGUGUGGCAUCUGUCGGGGUCCAGCCAGUGUGGUGAUCAGUCCAGUGCCAUCGGUCACGUCUCGAAACACGGGCCAAGGAGUAUAGCAUGUGUGCAAGUCUAAGGGCCUUAAUAAGCCUGCAGGCAAAGUGAAAGCAAGGCUGCGGCGAUCGACUCUUGGGUCGUUCGUCGGGCUUCGGCAUUCGUGUCGAGCUCAUGUGUGGUGUUCACGCAUCACACGGCAGGGCUGACUCUUUUCUCUCGUACUCUGCACAUUGGAAGGAUGCAAGCCCCGGACUCGCAGACGGUGCUGUCGCAAGACAGUGCCUGGCGAGUACCGCGGAGCAUGCAUGCUAUGACCCGAAAGAUAGUGAACUAUGCCUGGCGAGGGCGAAGCCCCUGGAAACUGGGGUGGAGGCCCGUAGCCGUUGUGACGUGCAAAUCCAUGGUA
RNAcentral lists this ribosomal RNA (1274 nucleotides) under Priscomilitaris heike. RNAcentral's name for it is "eukaryotic LSU rRNA". It matches the Rfam family "Eukaryotic large subunit ribosomal RNA", at positions 104 to 906 of the family's 3401-position model. The record is from RNAcentral. Lineage: Eukaryota; Metazoa; Arthropoda; Malacostraca; Amphipoda; Priscomilitaridae.